GAUGAACGCUGGCGGCAGGCCUAAUACAUGCAAGCCAAGGGCUGUUUGGUGUAGCAUUCCAUCCAACAACCGGCGGCGGGGUGCGUAACGCGUAUGCGAUCUACCCCCUACAGGAGGGUAGUCCCCGGAAACGAGGAUUACUACUCCAUAAGAUUGCUUAGAGGCCUCUUUAACCAUUUACAGCCGCAAGGUGGUUUAGGCUGGGCGUUCGUUCGAUUAGCUAGUGGGUGAGGUAACGGGUCACUAAGUCGAUGAUCGGUAGGGGUUCUGAGAGGUAGAACCCCCACACGGGCACAGGGACACGGCCCCGACGCCUACGAGAGGCAGCGAGAAGGAAGAUUGGACAAUAGGUGGAAGCCUGAACCAGCCAUGCCGCGUGCAGGAAGAAGGCACUAUGGGAUGUAAUCUGCUUUGGAGAGGGAGAGAGAAGGGCGAUGCGUCGCUCGAUGAGAGUACUACUCAAAUAAGCAUCGGCAAACUUCGG
Molecule: ribosomal RNA, 484 nt
Filed under: uncultured bacterium
Lineage: Bacteria
Description: partial 16S ribosomal RNA
Rfam family: Bacterial small subunit ribosomal RNA
Source: RNAcentral